GAUGAAGAACGCAGCGAAAUGCGAUACGUAAUGUGAAUUGCAGAAUUCAGUGAAUCAUCGAAUCUUUGAACGCAUAUUGCGCUCUCUGGUAUUCCGGAGAGCAUGCUUGUUUGAGUAUCAGUAAACACCUCAACUCCCUUUUCUUUUUUGAAAUUGGAGCUGGACUUGAGUGAUCCCAACGCUUUCUUCCAAGAAAGUGGCGGGUUGCUUGAAAUGCAGGUGCAGCUGAACUUUUCUCUGAGCUAUAAGCAUAUCUAUUUAGUCUGCCUAAAAAACAGAUUAUUACCUUUGCUGCAGCUAACAUAAAGGAGACUAGUUCUUGUACUGACUGAUGCAGGAUUCACAGAGACAGCUUCGGCUGACUUUGUAAACUCGAUCUCAAAUCAAGUAAGACUACCCGCUGAACUUAAGCAUAUCAAUAAGCGGAGGA
Molecule: unclassified non-coding RNA, 430 nt
Filed under: soil metagenome
Description: partial contains 5.8S ribosomal RNA, internal transcribed spacer 2, and large subunit ribosomal RNA
Rfam family: 5.8S ribosomal RNA (bases 1-120)
Source: RNAcentral